UACGUAGGAUGCAAGCGUUGUCCGGUUUUAUUGGGUUUAAAGGGAGCGUAGGCGGCCUAUUAAGUUAGUGGUGAAAACGUUCGGCUUAACCGGAUACCCGCCAUUGAUACUGAUAGACUUGAGUGCGACAGAGGGUGUUGGAAUGUGUGGUGUAGCGGUUAAAUGCUUAGAUAUCACGCAGAACACCAAUUGCGAAGGCAGAUGCCUAUGUCGUAACUGACGCUGAGGCACGAAAGCGUGGGGAGCAAACAUG
Molecule: ribosomal RNA, 253 nt
Filed under: uncultured bacterium
Lineage: Bacteria
Description: partial 16S ribosomal RNA
Rfam family: Bacterial small subunit ribosomal RNA
Source: RNAcentral